This is a long non-coding RNA of Cynoglossus semilaevis (tongue sole), 507 nucleotides long. RefSeq lists it as uncharacterized. NCBI's taxonomy places the organism in Eukaryota, Metazoa, Chordata, Actinopteri, Pleuronectiformes, Cynoglossidae. The record is from RefSeq and is a predicted model, not a curated record. The transcript has 2 exons.
UUGUAUUUGAUAAAUUCAACUUAAUAUUAAUAUAGAAUUAAGUUGUUACUGAAAGCUAAUGUGGAUCAUGAGGCUCAGUCACUACAGCUUUAGAUCAAAGUUCAUGAUUGAUGAAACAGACUAAAGUCUAACAAGACUGGACACACUCCUAGACAAUCAUUAAAUGCCAAAAAAUGUGUUGUGUGUUUAGUUGUAAAGUGUGACUUUUUUUUUCUGUGAAGAAAGUGACAGUGGCUUAUUGAGGAAAACGCUGACUAACUUUACUACAACAACAAGCUGGUUACAAACUGAAUGGUUGUAAACCCUGUUUGUGUGCCUGGUUACCAACAUGUAUUUGUAUUUUUUUUGUGUUAUUGCUACAGUUUUGAUGCCUCCUUUAUUGACCCCAGUGAUUUGUGCCAACUGUUUACCGUUGACAAAUGUUAACGCUGCCUCGUGUGGCCAGUCUGUAGUGUUGUGUUUCUGUAACAUUUAAAAAAUUCUAAAAUAAACUGGAUACUAACAAUA